CUCAUCUGCUGAGUCCCUCUCUCAGGGAUUCUAAUUCAUCUGCUCUUUUUCUGUUUGGGGGACAAGCACAUGGCCUGUAGCCUAUGCUUUUUCAUUUACAUUAAGCCUUUUAGUGGGAGAAAGAACUGCAAAAGCAACAGUCCUUCCGUUCUCUUGGGCUGCCUGUGAAAUCAAGCCUGGAACAGCCUUCCCCUGAGUCCCACUCUGCUGCCCUGCCCAUCACCUUUUCCUUUUCUAAUUUGUUCUGUUUCUUCUCACAUCCCCACUCCUGGGCUCCCAUGUAUAGCUGUGCAAGUUGUGGACUGCACAACCGCCCCUGCCCUAACCCCUGCUGUAUUAUCCUUGCCAUCCCUCCCCAGUCCCUCCUACCCCACAGAUCCCUUCCUUUUACUUCAUUUCCUGCAAGUCCUUCCUCCCUAACUGUCUCAAGGGGAAAGCCUGGCCUCUGUAGGGCCUGACUCACAUCCAUCAACCUUGGCAGGGUGGGGCAGGUCCAAGGCCAGGUGUCUACCGCUUAAGAGAGUCAAGGGGCCUCCUUUCCCAGCGGGCUGCCCCAAACCACUCACAAAACCCAGAAUCUCUUGCUCAUCGCAGGUUUGCUUUGCCAGAUGUAAAUUGUUCUCUAGGUUCACCAAGAGGCCAUAGAAGCUGCUUCAUAAAUAAGCUUAGCGUGUUUUCCCUUUAACCUGGCAGGCUCCCCCCUCCCUCGACACAAUUUUGCUGGAACUACAUAAAUACAUCCUCCUAGCGUCCUGCACAGUUCACAGCCUCAAGCACUGUUUAAAAAAGUUAACAUGUUUAAUCUCCGUAACGAUAUAAGUAUUGACCAAUUUUACCAGAAAAGGAGGGGCGGGAAAAAAAAAAAAAAAACAACUACAACCCACCACCAAAACCCGAGGCUGGGGUCACAUGCCUGAGGCUGGAACCGAAGUCUACUGGUCCCAAAGCCUAUGUCCUUAGUCACUACACCCUAAGGUCUCCAGUCCCCCUGAGCUGCCCCAGCCCUGCCUCGCCCACCUUCCCUGCCCCCCUCAACAUCUGCCCUCACGGCUCAUCACGCCGGCCUCACCUCUCAGCCCUGAGUGGUCAGCUGGGCUGCCUUCCUGCCUUCCCCCCACCUCACAUAGGUUCCCCUGGGCUACUUCAAGCCACUGUCACCUUAACACUGCUGUCCCUGUCAGCACAGGGAACAGCCUGGGGAACCCCUCGCUUAGGAAUAUCCCCACGGGGCUGGCAUUCCUGCUGGCUGUCCCCACAGACAGGACCCAAACACACGACAUUCUCCCCUCCCUUUCAGACCCCCGAAGUCACCUUCCUUUGGUUCUGCGGCACAGACGGGACAUAGGCCCACAGCGUCCCCUAUGGCUUGAACUCCUACCUUAAUGAACCAAUAGGGACAAGGAAAUCCUCAUCCUCAACAACUACACCAGGCCCAGGCCGGAUGGCUAGCUGCCCCCUCCCUCCCAAGCCUCCUCCCUCCCCGCACCCUCCGCCCCAGCCCUCAGGGACCAAGAUGGGGAAACUGUCCUAUAAUAGCAUUUUACAGGCACGUGCUCAUGACCUAGGUAUUUCUCUCAUCUGGUUAUCUUUAGAAACACGGGGAGGGAAUGGGGGAUUAAAGAAAUCCUCCCCUGCUUCCAUCUUGGAAAAAAAAAAAAAAAAGGCAGAACAUUCUGAUUCACUAACCUUAUCUUUAAAGAAACCUGACAUGGAAAAGGCAGGGAGAUAAGAUCUAUGACUUCAUCAGCUUGUUCUCUGAAGUUGUUUCAAGUUCUCCCAUCCCCCCCACCCAAAGGCCCCUUCAUUUCCUGUUUUCAAUAUGUAAUGGCAAGGAAUUCACAGCCGAGUGAGCCUGGGGGUCAGCGCAGGAAGCUGGCGCAGAGAGGAAGCUUUUAAGAGCCAAACUGAAAUCUGGCCACAAGUCAGGAGCAUCUCUUUUUAAUUCAGAUUUCUUUCUUUCUUUCUUUUUUUUUUUUUUUUUUUGCCUUAACUUUGCGGUCAGCGGCUCUGGAUGGCUUGUGGUCUCAGAACAGCUGCUGGUUUGGAAUAUCUUAAAUGCAAUGUGAAAGCGCAUGAGGGUUCAAAUUAAAAAAGAGAAGGAGAACUCUGCCAUUUCAUAGCAGGAAUUCUUGACAACCUCUCUCUUUCAAGAUGCUCCAAAUGCCUCCCAGACGCCCUUGUAUCAGCUCUUGCCGCCUCCCACGGUGGAGGCCAAGGAACUGGUACCAUCUGAAUCACUUUGUGCCGGGGAAAACAGAGACACCCACGUGUUCCUGCUUACACGGGUGGACAGGUGCCAUGUGGAAUUCAUGCCUCCAUCGGUAGCAGACCCUGGUGAUGUCCGUCCUACAUCGCCCUGACCCCCCAAGUUCCCUGCAGCAUGGCUGGGCAGCUUCAAAGGAUGCUGACAGCUUGGAUUGAGGCCCUAGGCUUCCUGGCCUCUGGAGUAAGGAUUCUCAGCACGUUCCACACGAUGCCUCAGAAAGUCCCCAGGGAGACAGUGCCCCAUUGCCCACAGCAGUAACAUGCUUGUUAAAGCACCUGUCCUAGGCCGUGCUUCCCCUCCCGUCUCCCUUUUCUCACUCCCUCAGUGGUGCCUCCUAGGUGUUCUCCUGAAUAAACCAUCUGCAUCCCUUA
Long non-coding RNA from Mustela lutreola (European mink), 2637 nucleotides. RefSeq lists it as uncharacterized. The transcript has 2 exons. The record is from RefSeq and is a predicted model, not a curated record. Lineage: Eukaryota; Metazoa; Chordata; Mammalia; Carnivora; Mustelidae.